RNAcentral lists this long non-coding RNA (849 nucleotides) under Zonotrichia albicollis (white-throated sparrow). RNAcentral describes it as "lncRNA (ENSZALG00000016494.1)". Lineage: Eukaryota; Metazoa; Chordata; Aves; Passeriformes; Passerellidae. The record is from RNAcentral.
UGGGCUCUGUUUUAGGGUGCCUGUUCCCAUCAGGAUGUGCGGAAAUGUGUCUGCUUGCUUUCUAAAUCCCUGGGAUUAAUUUUCUACAUGAAAUAACAGUUUCUUAUUGCAGAGAGAGUAACUACAGUGUUGCUGAGAGAAAGGUUUGUGUCUGGUUUGUGCUCAGAGUGCUCCUGCCCUACUUCAUUGCCUGGUACAAUCGAAGUGAAGGCACUGAGAAGGGACAGCUCAGACCAGCUUCUGAGCUGAUAUUGACUGAAAACUCAUCCCUUCCAUAUGGGCUGCCUACAAAUGUCUAGAUCUAAAAUCUAUUCCUGGGCCUGCUACACAGUAUGAAUUUGGGGAAAGUAACUUGACUUGUCUGUGCCUGACUGUGCAAGUGUGCAAAGUGAGGAUAAGAGGAAUUACUUCUUGGGGUUUAUAAGAUUUGGUGUAAUCAUGCUUUCAGAUCUGAUUAACAGGAUAGAGUUCAAGCAUUUAUUGUUUUCUUUGGCUCAGGUGUCUCCUUGUAAAGAGUCCCAGUGGUCAUGCUCUAAAAGUGUUUGUCUGUGAGGUUUGGUACAAACCCUUAGAAGGAAACCAGAAGCCAUGGAAGGAAAAUGCAGACAACUGCCUGGGGAGGGAAGAGGCUUUCCUGUAGAGGCUGAUUGUACCAAGCUCAGGAUAUUCUGCACUGUUACUCUGUGGAUAAUGCUGGUAACAAGCUUCUGUUCUUCAGUGUUCUGCAGUGGCACUGCUGCUGAAGAGCUUCUUCAUCCUCUGUGACUCUGUAAGUAUUUCUGGCCAUAACAGAAAUAUCCUGAAUACUUAACCCCAUGCAUGUUUAAAGCAAAAUCUAAAUUAUCUGGU